AAUCGAGUGAGAGAGAAAAGAGAAGAUCUAUCGAGCGAGGAAACCAAGAGGAAGAGAGAAAGAGAGGAAAGGAAGAGGGAGGCUAGAGAAGAGGAAAUGAGAGGAAGAGAAGAGUAGUUGAGCAGAAGAGUAAAGGGGUAGUCGAGAACGGCCACCACAAAGGAAAGAAAGAAGAAAAAAAAUGGCAGAUGCGAGAGAGUGGUGAAGCCGAAGCUGAAAGGAAGAAG
RNAcentral lists this long non-coding RNA (227 nucleotides) under Carica papaya (papaya). RNAcentral describes it as "long non-coding RNA (CPAP_LNC003828)". The record is from RNAcentral. Lineage: Eukaryota; Viridiplantae; Streptophyta; Magnoliopsida; Brassicales; Caricaceae.